UUGGUGUACAAACAAUGAGAUUACCCAUAGUCCUUUAGAUUCUGAAAAGGCGAAUUGUGUCCAUCUUUAUUUCAGAAUUCAGACUCCCGUCAAAGGCACAUACUUUAUGCUAAACCACUAUAAUUUCUUUUAUGUGAUAACUGAUAUUAUUGAAGCAUAACUGUGAUUUAAGUAAGCAAGGCUGAGAAGCUAUAUUACAUAUUCAAUUAGCUGAGAACAUGAUACCCGUGAUUUUCUAACUGAACACAUUGUAUAAAACAGCCAAUACAAGCAUUGAACAAGGCAUGCCAUCAUUUACAUGGAAGACCUCAUUUGCCAUACUGUGAAUUCAUUUAUUUUCCUGGAUUAAGGAAAAUAUUCAUGUUUGUGAAUAUCUACUAGUAAUUUCGUGGUUUUGAGGAAGUCUGCAUACAAGCCUAUAGAAAAUGUGUUAUUCGUUUAAAUUUUCGUGGUUCAUCUGUACCCUUGAAAUCCAUGAAAAUUGGUAUCCCACAAAUAAUAUUGAAUCCACAGUACCAUGAAAGUAAUUUUAUUUGUAAAUCAUUGCACUGUGAAAUGUUUGAGGUGGGAGUAAAGUGAGAAGCUAUAAAAAAAAGUUUGGUUUUGAGACUGGGUUGAAUAAAAAUAUCUGGUUAUGUGUUAACUAAUGUAUCUUUUCUUCUACUUUUUAAAUAUAUCAGAGUAAUAUUAACCAUAAUCUUUUUUUUUAUUCCUUGGCCUAUGAUAGUGGAGGGUCUUUAUUUUUCUGGUUUUAGGUUAAUAAUUGGGUUUAAGGUAGGUUUAAGUUCUUUUAAAGUUUGUUUUUUUGUGGUCACGUCUAUUUUAAAACUAAAUUUUUAUGUGGUCACAUCUAUUUUAAAACUUGUUACUUUAUGUUUUAUUUCAAAAUUUUAUACUGAACAAGUUUUUUACAUGCAAAAUAUAAAAGUUCACUGAACAUGUGAUAGUGUGAACUGGAUGUGGUAUCCAAGGAAACGGAUUCUUGUUAUUCUAAAUUGAUGAAGAGUUUAUCAUGAUUAUCUGUUUAACCUUAAGUUUGAAAUAAAUAAAUGAUUAAAUCAAUCAUACUUAGAAAUGAACAUUACCAUUUUUUUUAAAUUAAAAUACUCAUUAACAGAAUUC
Molecule: long non-coding RNA, 1122 nt
Filed under: Mytilus galloprovincialis (Mediterranean mussel)
Lineage: Eukaryota; Metazoa; Mollusca; Bivalvia; Mytilida; Mytilidae
Source: RNAcentral